RNAcentral lists this transfer RNA (65 nucleotides) under Callosobruchus maculatus (cowpea weevil). RNAcentral's name for it is "tRNA-Arg". RNAcentral also lists the same sequence under 1 other name. Lineage: Eukaryota; Metazoa; Arthropoda; Insecta; Coleoptera; Chrysomelidae. The record is from RNAcentral.
AAAUAAGAAGCAAAUUAUUGCAUUUAGUUUCGACCUAAAAGUUUGAUGACUUUCAUCCUUAUUUU